UACAGAGGGGGGCAAGCGUUUGUUCGGAAUUACUGGGCGUAAAGGGCGCGUAGGCGGUCAGCACAAGUCAGUUGUGAAAUCUCCGGGCUUAACUCGGAAAGGUCAACUGAUACUGUGCGACUAGAGUACAGAAGGGGCAACCGGAAUUCCCAGUGUAGCGGUGAAAUGCGUAGAUAUUGGGGAAGAACACCUGAGGCGAAGGCGGGUUGCUGGGCUGAUACUGACGCUGAGGCGCGAAAGCCAGGGGAGCAAACGGG
RNAcentral lists this ribosomal RNA (257 nucleotides) under uncultured bacterium. RNAcentral describes it as "partial 16S ribosomal RNA". It matches the Rfam family "Bacterial small subunit ribosomal RNA", at positions 524 to 776 of the family's 1533-position model. The record is from RNAcentral.